AGCAGCCGCGGUAAUUCCAGCUCCAAUAGCGUAUAUUAAAGUUGUUGCAGUUAAAAGCUCGUAGUUGAAUUUCGGGAUCAAGGAAUCGGUCAUGCCUCGGUAUGUACUGGUUUUAUUGGUUCUCACCUUCUAAAGAACCAUGAUGUCAUUCAUUUGAUGUUAUGGGGAAUUAGGACUGUUACCUUGAAAAAAAUUAGAGUGUUUAAAGCAGGCUUACGCUUGAAUACAUUAGCAUGGAAUAAUGAAAUAGGACAUCAGAUUCUAUUUUGUUGGUUUCUAGGAUCGAUGUAAUGAUUAAUAGGGAUAGUUGGGGGCAUUAGUAUUCAAUUGUCAGAGGUGAAAUUCUUGGAUUUAUUGAAGACUAACUACUGCGAAAGCAUUUGCCAAGGAUGUUUUCGUUAAUCAAGAACGAAAGUUAGGGGAUCGAAGACGAUCAGAUACCGUCGUAGUCUUAACCAUAAACUAUGCCGACUAGGGAUCGGAUGAUGUUUAUUUUUUUAGUGACUCAUUCGGCACCUUA
This 520-nucleotide ribosomal RNA is filed under the name uncultured Glomus. Its description in RNAcentral is "SSU rRNA". It matches the Rfam family "Eukaryotic small subunit ribosomal RNA", at positions 569 to 1090 of the family's 1831-position model. The record is from RNAcentral. Lineage: Eukaryota; Fungi; Glomeromycota; Glomeromycetes; Glomerales; Glomeraceae.